GUGGGGAAUAUUGGACAAUGGGCGAAAGCCUGAUCCAGCCAUGCCGCGUGUGUGAAGAAGGUCUUCGGAUUGUAAAGCACUUUAAGUUGGGAGGAAGGGCAGUAAGUUAAUACCUUGCUGUUUUGACGUUACCGACAGAAUAAGCACCGGCUAACUUCGUGCCAGCAGCCGCGGUAAUACGACGGGUGCAAGCGUUAAUCGGAAUUACUGGGCGUAAAGCGCGCGUAGGUGGUUUUGUAAGUUGGAGGUGAAAUCCCCGGGCUCAACCUGGGAACUGCCUCCAAAACUGCAUGACUAGAGUACGGUAGAGGGUAGUGGAAUUUCCUGUGUAGCGGUGAAAUGCGUAGAUAUAGGAAGGAACACCAGUGGCGAAGGCGACUACCUGGACUGAUACUGACACUGAGGUGCGAAAGCGUGGGGAGCAAACAGGAUUAGAUACCCCUGUAGUCC
This 450-nucleotide ribosomal RNA is filed under the name uncultured bacterium. RNAcentral's name for it is "partial 16S ribosomal RNA". It matches the Rfam family "Bacterial small subunit ribosomal RNA", at positions 354 to 796 of the family's 1533-position model. The record is from RNAcentral.